This 109-nucleotide ribosomal RNA is filed under the name gamma proteobacterium ectosymbiont of Leptonemella aphanothecae. RNAcentral describes it as "partial 23S ribosomal RNA". The stretch from base 18 to 109 matches the Rfam family "Bacterial large subunit ribosomal RNA", at positions 1 to 93 of the family's 2925-position model. The record is from RNAcentral. Lineage: Bacteria; Pseudomonadati; Pseudomonadota; Gammaproteobacteria.
AGGUUUUGGGGUUAUAUGGUCAAGUGAAUAAGCGCAUACGGUGGAUGCCUAGGCGGUAGGAGGCGAUGAAGGACGUGUAGCCUGCGAAAAGCCCCGGGGAGCUGGCAAA